RNAcentral lists this ribosomal RNA (467 nucleotides) under uncultured bacterium. RNAcentral's name for it is "bacterial SSU rRNA". It matches the Rfam family "Bacterial small subunit ribosomal RNA", at positions 32 to 507 of the family's 1533-position model. The record is from RNAcentral.
AAUCAACGCUGGCGGCGUGCCUCAGACAUGCAAGUCGAACGAUUAAAGCUCUCUUCGGAGAGUGCAUAGAGUGGCGCACGGGUGAGUAACACGUAAGUAAUCUACCUUCGAGUGGGGAAUAACGUCCGGAAACGGGCGCUAAUACCGCAUAAUGCAGCGGCAUCGCAAGAUGACAGUUGUUAAAGGAGCAAUCCGCUUGAAGAGGAGCUUGCGGCAGAUUAGCUAGCUGGUAGGGUAAUGGCCUACCAAGGCUACGAUCUGUAACCGGUCUUAGAGGACGGUCGGUCACACUGACACUGAAUAACGGGUCAGACUCCUACGGGAGGCAGCAGUCGGGAAUUUUGGGCAAUGGGGGAAACCCUGACCCAGCAACGCCGCGUGAAGGAUGAAGUAUUUCGGUAUGUAAACUUCGAAAGAAUAGGAAGAAUUAAUGACGGUACUAUUUAUAAGGUCCGGCUAACUACGUG